RNAcentral lists this long non-coding RNA (167 nucleotides) under Numida meleagris (helmeted guineafowl). Its description in RNAcentral is "lncRNA (ENSNMEG00000008695.1)". Lineage: Eukaryota; Metazoa; Chordata; Aves; Galliformes; Numididae. The record is from RNAcentral.
CCUUCCUCCUCUCUGACCCCAUCCAACACCCCUUGUUAAGGAAACCGUCUUAAACCCAGGGCAAGAAACAUAAAGUCACUUGGCUGUCCCUUAUCUCUAAGGGCACCUGAUGCAUAAGUGGACUAGAGAAAGGAAAGAAAGAAAAACUCCAAAGACCUACAAAUCGU